RNAcentral lists this ribosomal RNA (376 nucleotides) under uncultured bacterium. Its description in RNAcentral is "bacterial SSU rRNA". It matches the Rfam family "Bacterial small subunit ribosomal RNA", at positions 524 to 898 of the family's 1533-position model. The record is from RNAcentral.
UACAGAGGGUGCAAGCGUUAAUCGGAGUUACUGGGCGUAAAGGGCGCGUAGGCGGUGAUACAAGUGAGGUGUGAAAGCCCUGGGCUUAACCUAGGAAUUGCACUUCAAACUGUGUUGCUAGAGUGCAGUAGAGGGUGGUGGAAUUUCCGGUGUAGCGGUGAAAUGCGUAGAGAUCGGAAGGAACAUCAGUGGCGAAGGCGGCCACCUGGACUGUAACUGACGCUGAGGCGCGAGAGCGUGGGGAGCAAACAGGAUUAGAUACCCUGGUAGUCCACGCUGUAAACGAUGAGAACUAGAUGUUGGUCUGCGCGAGCGGAUGAGUAUCGAAGCUAACGCGAUAAGUUCUCCGCCUGGGGAGUACGGCCGCAAGGUUAAA